GAAAUGCGAUAAGUAAUGUGAAUUGCAGACUUCAGUGAAUCAUCGAAUCUUUGAACGCACAUUGCGCCCGCGAGUAUUCUCGCGGGCAUGCCUGUUCGAGCGUCAUUUCAACCAUCAAGCCCCCGGCUUGUGUUGGGGACCUGCGGCUGCCCGCAGGCCCUGAAAUCCAGUGGCGGGCUCGCUGUCGCACCGAGCGUAGUAGCAUACUUCUCGCUCCGGGAGCGCGGCGGGCGCCUGCCGUAAAACCCCCUACAUACCAAAGGUUGACCUCGGAUCAGGUAGGAAUACCCGCUGAACUUAA
RNAcentral lists this unclassified non-coding RNA (301 nucleotides) under uncultured Lasiosphaeriaceae. RNAcentral's name for it is "sequence contains ITS1". The stretch from base 1 to 105 matches the Rfam family "5.8S ribosomal RNA", at positions 50 to 154 of the family's 154-position model. The record is from RNAcentral. Lineage: Eukaryota; Fungi; Ascomycota; Sordariomycetes; Sordariales; Lasiosphaeriaceae.